Molecule: non-coding RNA, 19 nt
Filed under: Rattus norvegicus (Norway rat)
Lineage: Eukaryota; Metazoa; Chordata; Mammalia; Rodentia; Muridae
Source: RNAcentral
AGUGUUGCCAGAAUGGAGA